This 608-nucleotide ribosomal RNA is filed under the name uncultured bacterium. RNAcentral describes it as "bacterial SSU rRNA". It matches the Rfam family "Bacterial small subunit ribosomal RNA", at positions 291 to 916 of the family's 1533-position model. The record is from RNAcentral.
GUUGAGAGACUCUACGGCCACAUUGGGACUGAGAUACGGCCCAGACUCCUACGGGAGGCAGCAGUCGGGAAUAUUGCGCAAUGGAGGAAACUCUGACGCAGUGACGCCGCGUGCGGGAAGAAGGUUUUCGGAUUGUAAACUGCUUUAGACAGGGAAGAAAAAGACAGUACCUGUAGAAUAAGUUCCGGCUAACUACGUGCCAGCAGCCGCGGUAAUACGUAGGGAGCAAGCGUUAUCCGGAUUUAUUGGGUGUAAAGGGUGCGUAGACGGGAAAAUAAGUUAGUUGUGAAAUCCCCAUGCUUAACAUGGGAACUGCAACUAAAACUGUUUUUCUUGAGUGCUGGAGAGGAAAGUGGAAUUCCUAGUGUAGCGGUGAAAUGCGUAGAUAUUAGGAGGAACACCAGUGGCGAAGGCGACUUUCUGGACAGUAACUGACGUUGAGGCACGAAAGUGUGGGGAGCAAACAGGAUUAGAUACCCUGGUAGUCCACACCGUAAACGAUGGAUACUAGGUGUAGGGUGUGAUAAACGCUCUGUGCCGUCGCAAACGCAGUUAGUAUCCCACCUGGGGAGUACGGCCGCAAGGUUGCAACUCAAAGGAAUUGACGG